UUCUCUAGGGGACGUGAUCUGAAAUUCAGAAAGAAAAACAACACAUGUUGCCCUAAAACAGAAGGGUCUCACAAAAGACUUUCUUCAAUAAACUGCAGCAAAGAAAAAUUGAUGGAGCAUGAAAAUCUCGGGCUAAUAAUAGUAUAUGAAAGAAGAACAGAAAGUGUGUGCCAAGGUGUGACCCACUGAGAGAACCCUGGAGACAAGAGUGUACAGAUAAUGUAUCACGUAAUUCUAGAUUUUGUCAUGAAUUCCAUGAUGUAUUAAAAUAAUUAUUUCAGGAUAUUAUUGUCCCAUUGGCUUCAAAGGAUAAUGCAGAAAAACUAAGAGCCUCAGAAUUUUUUUAAAGAAAAUCAAAUUAGCUACCACAUUAAAAGUCUAUUUUUAUUUCAUUGUUGAUAUUUUCCAAGAAAAAAUAUAUUUCUAAAAUCUUCGGAAUCCAUUUGUGUGUUACCUUUUAAAACAUAGGAAAAAGGUAAAAUAGGCCAUCAGCUGAAAACACUUGUCUCUCCUGCAGUGCGAUAAUCUACUCACAUGAAAAUAUAAUGAGUCACUUUAAGAAUCAUCACACACAUCUCUUGCAGUUUGCCCAAGUGUUGGGAAUUUGUCAGGAAGAAAGCUACCUAUCAUCUGGUCUUUGGGACCACCAUGUGAUACUAUUCCAAGAUUCUGAAAAUCCAAGCAAUCUCAUUCACUGAGAGAAUAGUCAAAUGAUGUGUACUUUGUGAAAGUCAUACAAUAAAAAGAAAAACAUAACAGUAAAUCAGUUUUAUACUUUAAAUGUGAAAUUUUAGAUCCCAGUGUGUAUCACAGAACACAGUGCAAUCAUUGUUAGUUUCAUUUUUUUCCCUUAAAAAACUGCAAGGUAUUAUAAAUUGUGAAUAAUUUAAAACAUUAAAUGGUUACUAACAAAACUUCAGACUAUCAAAGCAAUAUAAUUUAUUUGUCUUUGUCUUAUACUAAUUAAAAUGUACUACUUCCCUUACUACUUUGGGGCAAGGCUAAGGAACAAUGACCUUUAAUACAUGUUGACUAAGAAGCUAACUAUAAACUGUUAUGUUGGGUUUAUAAGUCAUUACCAUUGAGCUGUUAUUCAUCCUAAAUCUUAAACAUUUGAACACAUUUCAAUUCAUGUAAACAAUAGAAAAUCAAAUGAGAAUAUGAACAAAAUAAAGUGAUUUUCAUAAUUAAAGGCUUAAAGGUAUAGACACAUGAAAAAAACUUCUGUUUCUGCUUAGAAGAAUAUGCCAGAAACGUUCCAUUCUGCACACUAUUGUGAUAGUACUUCAGCAAGGUCUGGGGAAUAAAUUUAUCUUCAGAAUAAUCCUCCCUACCCUUUAAAUUUAUUACAUGUAUACACUAGGAUAUAAAGGUCUAUGUUAAGUUGGAUACUUCCUGACAUGCUUUGCUUGACUUACUCCAACCAUCACUCUGUAUUUCAUUCAGUGCCAAACUUCUUACAGAGUAUAUCUAUAUCCACAGCUACUAAUUCCACAGCUAUUAAUUUCUUAGGCUUGCAGCCUAGCGUCUGCCCUCACCAUUCUAGGGGAACAGUUCAUCUUAAGGUCUCUAACCUUCUAAAUGACUAGGCCAACAGGUUGGCUCAUAGUCCUAACACCCAUACCCCAUCAUUUUCCUUCAGGGCCUGACUUCACUGAUCACUCCAUUUUGAAACAUCUUUCACUUUUGGUUUCCAAAACACGGUACAGCUUUGUUCUCCUCCCAUAUCUCUGACCUUGUUUUUCUGCUGUAUGUGCUGGCUCCAAACUUUCUCCUACCUUCUAAAUAUAGAUUGUCUCCUUGGACCUCUUUGCUGCAUCCUGUUCUUUAGGUAGUCUCACCUGGCUUCACAAAGUUAUCACAUUUAUACCAUUGACACCUGCAUCUCCAAUCCCGGUCUCAACAUUCCCCUUCAGGUUUCAAUUUAGUUGCCUGACAACCCUGCUACAUGACCUACCUGUACCUUAAAAAUUCAACUUGUCCUGCGAACAUUAGCAUAUUCUCUACAAGGUCAGCUCUUCUUGCUUUCCCUGUGUAUUUUUGGAGGCACCAUUCACCCUCAGUCAUCUAAGUUCAAAUGCUUCCAUCAUGAUUGACUGCUUUGGUUCUGUCACUCCUGGCAUUCCAUUCCUCCAAUUUUAAUUUGGGACACAUGUACUUUGCCAUUGUAGUGUAGGCUGUCACAUCUUGCACAGUCCUUACCACCUGUCUGCACAACUUUUUUGUCCACGUUUAAGAUUCAUAUGAUUCAUCGUCAAUUGUACUUGAAGUGGAUCUUUCUCAUCAAGCUGUCCCCCAUUCCCUGUUUACCUCUACAUUACAGCACAGAGUUAAUGCCCUUCACCAUAACAACAACAAGAACAACAACAAAAAUACGCAUGUGUAUAAUAGGUGCAAGUUUCAAAGACCACAAACUUGGUGUGUAAAAUGUAACUUUCUUUCUCUGAAAAGAAAUUUAAUUUCUAGUUAAAUACCCAUUCCUCAAGGAAGUCAGGAUGGGCAACUUUUAGAUGCUUUUUCAUUCAGUGGUGUUGUCUCUGAUGCUGUUUUCCCAAUAUUCCUUACUGUCAUUUCUCCUCUUUUCACCAGUUGGUGGUUCAUUGCCCCCUCCUCAGAGGCUGCAUGCCAAAAAGUGAGGGUGAGGUCCUCUCUGCUACUAGGUCCUCAAUCUCUUUGUGGUUCUUCUGACAAAAAGAUCUGGAUUCAAGAGCCCCUCCUCGUGAAUACUUCCUAGCACCUACCUCCUUUACUUCCCCAUUGCUUUUUCUUUCUGUUCUCCAAUUCAGAGAACUGUAAUAUCUUGGGGAUGACAAUAAGGGAUUAAAUCCUAGAAUCCUUUCCUGUAGGGAAGAAUCCAGAUUAUCUAAUGGACUUUAUUUUCUUACUUGCAUUCAUGCUAUAACAACUUUACCCCCUGGUCAUAAGAAUAGAACACAGCAGAUGCUUCCUGCAUGGAAGGAAGGUAGGGGCAGAAGGAAAAAGGGGGAAAGAAGCAUAGCUUAUUACAAAAUGUCAUGUCAUGACAUUAUAGUAGCAGAACUUAAAGACCACUUCAGAAAGGAUUAUUGCCAAGCUGCAGUACAGCACUUUCUCCUCACUGCUCUUUGGAAGGAACUAGCCGUUGCACUGUUAUAUGUGUGUAACUCUUUAUGGAAAGAAUUAUUUUAGGUAAAUAUAUGGGCAAUAUAUGCAUUUUGUUUGGCUUGUACACAAUAUAUGCAUUUCUUUGGCUUGGCUUAAACCUUUUUAAAAAGUGUUUUUUAAUUGAGAAUUUUCACAUAAAAUCCACAUUUUCUGCUUUUUUAGAAAAAUAUAAAAAAUUGGCAACAUCAGGAACUUGUACAAAAUUGACUUAAAUACAGCUUGUAAAGUCGGAUAGAGAAACAUGGUGAGUAGGCAAGGAGACAGAACUAAUAUCAACUAAGCACUUUCUAUGAGCUCGACAACUGCACACACGAACACACACACAUAUCAUUGAAUCCUUGAAGUUAGGGAGGUAAGAUGUUAUUAUUCUCAUGUCAAAAAGCUAGCAAGUGACAGAGACAGGAAAGGAACCUGCAUCUCUCUCACAAGGAAAGCACACUACUAGACAAGAAAUGGCGAGAAAAGAAUGUAGUCUCAAUGCAUCUAAAUCUCAGUGGUACCUUCUGGGAAUGAGAAUGCAUAGAAACCAACAGACCAAACAAAAUACCAAAAUCUACGCUACUGCCAUUCUUUGCUGCUUUGAAGCAAGUCUCUUUUUGCCAGAGUUCUCUUACUUCCUAGGCAGUCAAAUUAAGUAGCUACAAGUCAGAACAUGACAGAUUUACUUUAAAGCUAUCAACAAUUCUAUACUUUGGAGUACUUCUAGUCACUAUUAUCACAGAUGCUUCCUUUCCAAGGAUGGCAGAAAUCUCUGUGAUAGAAAGAAUAUAAAUAACCUGUAUUUUACUUCAGAUUGCCUUGGUCCUUUUCAAAAUAGGAGAAGGCAUACAACAAGUUAUAUUAGCGCAGCUCUUUCCACUGCCUCUAUAAAUGCAUAAAGUAGCAAUUUUCUUUCUAAACCAAAUCUGUUUGGCAAGAUAUAAUUGCUGUUAUAAAAAUUUAAAAAUGGUCCUCUUCAGGGGAGUUUACACCUUUCAGAUAUUUUUGAGCUAUUGUCAUGACGUUCACCUUUCCCUGUGGACAUAUUUGACUCCUUUAAUCAUGGCUAAUAAAUCAAUCCUUUCAUCCUCUUAAUUUUUCUUGUUAUUCUCUGAACUCCAUCCAGUUGGCUUAUAUGUAUUUAGUAAUGUGCAAACCAAAACUAAAUGUAAUAUUCCAACUGUGUUUUUUUUCAGUAUUACAAAGGUGAUAUUUUAAAAGCUAUUGAUUCCCUGUAAAACAUGUUUAAAAAAAAAAGAAAUCAGAGAAAAUGAAAGGAAAUAGUGAGAAAGAAAUAGUAAGGGAUCCUAUUAAUGUUGCAACUUUGUGAUUUAUUUAUGGAUAUUCCCUGAUUUCAAUUAUAGGAGGCUUAUUACUAUUAGUUAUUUAACUAACUAUGCAAUUCAAGUUAUUUCCAGAGGUGUUUUUUUUUUUUUUUUUUUUUUUCCAGCGGGGAGGAUGGAGGGAUAUUGUUUGUCUAUUGUUUUUAGCACAUAAAACUCUCGAGUUAUUUAUUUAACCCUAUCCCUAUGGCCAGAGUCCUGCUAGUAUUAGACUAAUUCCUCAAGUAAUUUACACCUACUUGUCAUACUAAAUCACCAAGCGGUAUACAUUCUAGACUGUCCGUUAUAGGAGGGCACUCACCUCAAGUUAAUUUGCUGCUUCUUGGACCCCUGCUGCCACUGUUUCUCUGAAAAAAAGAUGAACCAUAUCCCUUGGUCCAGCUGCCUUGCCUGACAAAUCUAUUUGUUAUAGAAAACUGCUGCGGAGCUUCUCUUGUCCUUCACUGGCUCACUCUGGUGCUGGCAUCAGUCUUCCUCUAUCGCUCUUUCUUACAGUGGGUCAACAGUCUUGUUGUAUUGAAAAGUUCCAAAAUGUGGUAGCUGUUAAUUCAAAGUUUAUUUUAACUUAAAAAUUUGACCUUUGUUUUAAAUAUAAUUCAUCUCCAAUUUUGGAACUUCCUUGAAAUAUUCCCAUUUGAAUUCAAGAAAUAAGUGUUAUUUCAGUAAUAACAUUGAUGCUUUUUAGCUAAGGUAGAAUAGAAGACUGGCUUUGAGUAUAAGAUUCUGGAACCAAACUACCUACAUUUGAAAGCCAAUCCAUCCACUAUCCUGUGUAAUGAGACACUUAAAUGCUCUCUGCCUCAGUUUCUGUCACAAUAAAAUGGGAAUUUUAUAAUUUUGAAGUAUGUUCCUUCAAUAUCUAGUUUAUUGACAGUUUAUAACAUGAAGGGAAGUUGAAUUUUAUUGAAAGUUUUUCUGCAUCUCUUGAGAUAGCCAUCUAUGACAGAUCCACAGCCAACAUCAUAUUGAAUGGGGAAAAGCUGGAAGCAUUCCCCUUGAAAACUGUCACAAGACAAGGAUGCCCUCUCACUACUUCUAUUCAACCUAGUAUUGGAAGUCCUAGCUAGAGCAAUCAGGCAAGAGAAAGAAAGGCCAUCCAAAUAGGAACAGAGGAAGUCAAAUAAUCCCUGUUUGCUGACAACAUGAUUCUAUAUCUAGAAAACCCCACGGUCGUAGCCCAAAAGCUCCUUUAGCUGAUAAACAACUUCAACAAAGUCUUGGGAUACAAAAUCAAUGUACAAGAAUCACUAGCAUUUCUCUACACCAACUACAGCCAAACUGAGGGCCAAAUCAGGAGCACAAUCGCAUUCACAAUUUUCACCAAAUAAAUUACCCAGGAAUACAGCUAACCAGGGAGGUGAAUGAUCUCUACAAUGAGAAUCACAAAACACUGCUCAAAUAGAUCAGAAAUGACACAAACAAAUGGAAAAACAUAUCCUGUUCAUGGAUCAGAAGAAUAAAUAUUGUUAAAAUGACCAUACUGUCCAAAGAGGUUUCCAGACUCCAUGCCGCUGCUAUCAAACUACCAAUGAUAUUCUUCAUAGAACUAGAAAAAACUAUUUUAAAAUUCAUAUGGAACAACCAAAAAAGCCCGAAUAACCAAGGUAAUUCUAAGCAAAAUGAAAAAAGCUGGAGACAUCAUGUUACCUGACUUCAAACUAUAUUACAGGAUUACAGUAACCAAAACAACAUGGUACUGGUACAAAGACAGACACAUAGACCAAAGGAACAGAAUAUAGAGCCCAGAAAUAGGACUGCACACCUACAACUAUCUGAUAUUCCACAAAGCUGACAAAAAAAAAAGCAAUGGGGAAAGGAUUAUCUAUUCAAUAAAUGGUGCAAGGAUAACUGCUACCCAUAUUCAGAAGAUUGAAAUUGGACCCCUUCCUUACACCAUAUACAAAAAUCAACUCAAGAUGGAUUAAAGACUUAAAUGUAAAACCCAAAACUAUUAUAACGCUGGAAGACAAACUAAGCAAUACCAUUCUAGGCAUAGGAAUGAGCAAUUAUUUUAUGACGAAGAUGCCAAAAGUAAUUGCAACAAAAGCAAAAAUUGACAAAUGGGAUCUAAUUAAAUUUAAGAGCUUCUGCACUGCAAACAAAACUAUCAACAGAGUAAACAGACACCUCACAGAAUGGGAGAAAAUAUUUGCAAACCAUGCAUCUGACAAAGGUCUAAUAUCCAGCAUCUAUAAGGAACUUAAAUUUACAAGGAAAAACAAAUCACCCCAUUAAAAAGUGGGCAAAAGACUUUAAUACACACUUUUCAAAAGAAGACAAGCCAACAAUCAAAUGAACAAAAGCUCAAUAUCACUGAUCAUUAGAGAAAUGCAAAUCAAAACCACAAUGAGAUACUAUCUCACACCAGUCAGAAUGGUUAUUAUUAAAAUGCUGAGGAAUAACACAUGCUGGUGAUGUUGCGGCAAAAAAGGAACAUUUAUAAACUGUUGGUGGGGGUGUAUAUCAAUUCAAUCAUUAUGGAAAGCAGUCAGGCAAUUCCUCAAAGAGCUAAAAACAGAACUGAAAUUUGACCCAGCAAUAUCAUUUUUGGGUAUAUACCUGGAAGAAUAUACAUCAUUCUACCAUAAAGACACGUGCAUGUGAAUGUUCAUUACAGCACUAUUCACAACAGCAAUGACAUGGAGUCCACUUAAAUGCCAAUCAGUGACAGACUGAAGAAAAUGUAGUAUAUAUACACCAUGGAAUACUAUUCAGCCAUAAAAAGAAUGAGAUCAUAUCUUUUGUAGGAACAUGCAUGGAGCUGUUCCCAAUGCAGGAACAAAAAACCAAAUACCACAUCUUCUCACUUAUAAGUGGGAGCUAAAUGAUGAGAACUCAUGGACACAAAGAGAGGAACAAUAGAUACUGGGACCUACUUGAAGGUGAAGGGUGGUAGACAGGAAAAGAGCAGAAAAGAUAACUAUCGGGUACAAAGGCUUAGUACCUGGGUAAGGAAAUAAUCUGUAUAACAAAUCCCUGUGACACAAAUUUACCUAUGUAACAAACCUGCACAUGUAACCAUGAACCUAAAAGUUAAAAAAAAUAAAGUGGGGAUAUUAAUAGGAGUACCUGUUUCACAGGGUAGUGAAAGUAAAUGAGUAUGGAGAUGUAAACACUAUUAUUUUCUUAAAAUUAUUUUGUAUUAUUUUGUUACAAUUAUAAUUUAGUUACAAGAACUACUGAAGAACUGCCAGUUCAUUGAGCCAAAUGAUAAGAUACCAACCCCCUGUCAGCUGCCCAACAAAAAUGGUCUCUGCCUUUAAGGAUGUUGACUUCUAGAUAGAAAUUCAAAUAUGUAUACACACAAAGAUGACUAUCAUAGGGCAGUAGAUAUGUGUUCUUCAGAAUCUUUCAUUCAGUAUAAACUUUGAAGCUAUUAAUCACUGGACAUCUGUAAGCUGUCAAUACAAAAUCUGUCUUAUUCUUCUAAGCCUUCUUCAUAACCAGUUGGCUCUGUCCUUACAUUGAGCAAUCGAUCAUAUGCAUUUACUCUAGGUUUCCUUAAUUUAUAUCCCAGUUGGGAACUGACUUUUUUAGCAGAAUUAGACAUGUAAUAUUAAAGUCCUAAAAUAUACAAGAGUUUUAACUAAUACAUCUAUCUAUCUAUCUAUCUAUCUAUCUAUCUAUCUAUCUAUGUAUCCAUCCAUCCAACCACCCACCCACCCAACCAUUCCUCCAUUCAUUCAUCCAUCCACUUAUGUCAGGUCUUCCUUAUGUUUUAUAAGGGCAGACACAUAAAUCAAAAUUCUGAAUGAAAACAUAUAAAGUUUUUAAACAUAUUUUAUUUAAAUUGGUUUACCUUUCUAGAAGAAAGCAGCAAUCUAUAAUCUUUAAGUGUCAUGUGAAGUUUAUUAACUAUAUUAAAGGAUGAAAAAUAUCUCUAGUUGUUCCACAUCAAAAUAAAAAAAAAAAAACAAGAGUAUUUCAGUCAGGACAGGGUUAAUGAAACUGUGAGAUAGAAAAAUACUCUUGGAUUUCAAAUCUGCUUCGCAUUGUAAACUAAGCACUAGUUUUAUAGAAAAAUCAUCAUUUAUCUGUAAUACUAUAAAUAUAUGUCUCUCCAAGCAUUCAAGCUAUAAGAUACCGAUUACUACCUAUCCAGCACAACCUUUCCCGGGGUAGACCUAAUGACCCUCAACAGUGUACAGAGAGAACUGGGACUUACCAGGGGAUGUGAUCUGUGAGUGACCACAAGCUGUUUGACCUUCACAAGUUGUUUUACCUUUCCUGCCUUCCAGCUCCAUUUCACCAAUCUAUUUUUUUAUAUAGCUGUCAUUGAAAGCCACCUCAGCGCCUUCCUAUUCAGAGUAGGGUUCAAAUAAAUAGAUUUUUAAAAGAGAAAGGAAUUCAAACCAAGACUUUCUGGUUCCAGAUUCCAAAGUCAUAGUUGAAAAUACAUUAUUGCCCAUUUGAAAUCAAUUUAAUAGUUGCAUAUUCACUGAUUUUAUAAUGAAUUCAUUUUAAUUUAGGAAAGGUUAAAUCAAGAUAUCCAAUUCCUAGGCAUUGUUAGAUUUCAAAACAGUAAGAAAUACCCAUUUAUCUAUUGUGGUAGGAAUACACAGGAUGUGUUUACAGGAAAUUAGGAAAAGUCUGGGAAAGAAAAUAUUCAGGGUUUUUCAAAUAUUUUCAUAACAUUACUUUAUGAAUGAGACUUACAAAGAUGAUUCAACUAGGCUAUAAUAUAUUAUGUUUAAUAACAUGUUUAGGUUCCAGAGAAACCACUGGGGGAACAGGCUCAGGAGAUGUUGGGGCUGGUAUAUGGAUAUAACAGCACUGUAUAUUUUUAAAAUGCAUUCUUCUAGUGACAUUUGCAAUCAUAUGAAUAAAAGCAGAAUUGGGAAAAUGGUAUGCUGCCAAUGAAGAUACAGCUAUUUUUAAUCAGGGAAAAUUUACUAGCUAAUUGGACAAUAAGUGUUUAUGGAUUCCUCUAACUCUAGACAUUACAUUUUUCAUUUGAUAUUGUAAAGUAUUCCUUCUAUUAAACAAACUCAGUCUUUGGAAAAUAUGUAAAAGCGUAUUAAAGGCAGGAAUUUAAGUUUGAGUAAUUUUAAUGUUUUGGCAUAGAGACAUUCUAAAUUUAAAUGGUAGCAGGGGCAUUUUUACUGAGUAAAUUAGAAAUUAUUUAACAAUCACUUUACAAAUCAUUUAAUGAUGACAGAAAACCUCCUUGGUAGGCAAAACUAGUAGACUAAGAGACAUGAAGAUCUCCUUUUGAAUUUUCUUAUUUUUUUUUUUAUGUAUUUAUUUGAGACAGAGUCUUGCUCUGUCACUUAGGCUGGAGUGCAGUGGCUCGAUCUUGGCUCACUGGGUUCUCUGCCUCCCAGGUUCAAGCGAUUCUCUUGCCUCAGCCUCCCAAGCAGCUGGGAUUACAGACAUGGGCCACCACACCCGCUAAUUUUUGUAUUUUUAGUAGAGAUGAGGUUUCACCAUGUUGGCCAGGCUGGUCUGGAACUCCCGACCUCAGGUGAUCCACCCACCUCAGCCUCCCAAACUGCUGGGAUUACAGGUGUGAGCCACCGUGCCUGGCCUCCUUUUGAAUUUUAAUAAAGGAUAGAAACUCAUUUCUUAUUAAACUUUGAUCUUCUCCAUCAUUGCAUUUAUACCAAUUACAACUAAUUUAUUAUUUGUAUAAUCUAUUGAACAUUUGUUUUACCCACUAGACUGUGAGCUCCAUGAGAAGACGGAAGAUAUCUAUUUUAAUCAGCACUGUAGCUGGUAUGUACUAAUAAUAAUAACAGUAAGUGUUAACUUUUACUGAGUACUUAUUAUUCAUCAGGCCUUGUGUUAAGCAUUUUCUGUCUAUUACUAGUAAGUUCAUUUAAUUAUAUUUAUUAAGUUAACAAGUAAAAUUUGUAGUGAAUCAAAAGACCCUAAAUUUAUACAGAGAAGCACAAAAGACCUUUUGCCAAGCAGAAUGAGGCCCAGGGUGAGAAGGGCCAGAAAAAUUCAGCUACUCCAUAAAAAUGAUUAAACCAAGGCUCAGAGAGGUACAGGCAACCUGCUUAAAGCCACAGGAAAAAGGUCACAAAUUCCAGUAUGUCCUGAUGAUGUGUCUGAUGCCACUGAGCAUAGAGCAUCUGAAGAGAGAUGCAGUGAGUUAGCUGCUGCAAAAACUAGACAGAUUUCUUAUAUAUGGACUCACUCUUCAUCAUUCACAUACUCCACAAACACUCACUGGCUAUCGACCUUAUACCACGUGCUUUGUGAGGUGGCAGGCAUGGCAAGACAAGGAAGAAAAAUCUAGGGGAGAUAUGCAUGUAAGCAAGUGUCACUAAGGUGUAGUCCAUGUAAAAUAGGGAAGUGUAAGGUGUAAGGAAGUGUUAAGUGUAAGGUGGGGAUCAAAGGAAGAAGUGAUUUCCUCCCACAGACAUCGAUUAAACCAUUUGCAUUAUUGGAGCCAUCCAUGCUAAAGAAAAAAAAAUCCAAACACAGUUCCUUCAACGUAAAAAAUAUUUGAAUGUACCUUAGAGAUUAACUCAAAAUUAUUUUAUCAGUCCCUGGAGGAAAUCACAUUUCAGCACUAUUAUCCUGAAUUUAGAGUGAAAAGAAUCACUUUAGUUGCCACUUUUUCUCUCUGAACUCACUAGCCACAGAUCAAUAAGAUCAUCCAUUCAUUCAACAAAUAUUUAUUGCAUGUUUAUUACAUCAGGCACUGGGAUACACGAGUGGCAAAUUUAAAAGUUUAGCCAUUAGUAUUCUCAGUGGCAUACCAAAAUUUGAUGAUAUUCUUCAGUAAAAAAUUUCAACAAAAUGAUAUUUUGAUCAUUAUCAGAUGAUCAAAUGAUAUUUUAAUCAUUAUCAGAACUUAAUGGAAACAAAAAAGCAUGGAUUAUCUGUUGCUUCCCAAUAAAACUAAAUCUAAUUCAAUGCCAUCCUAUUCUUAAUAUAAAACAGAAAAUUCCAUUGAAAACAAAAAUACAUUUUUAAAACGGGAAAUAGGAUCAAAAAUUUCAUAUUCAAUAAAGUUGCUUUUUCCUAAUUUUCCCAAUUACCUUCUUUAUAGAACUUAGUUUUUCAUCCAAUCAUUUUAAUACUGUCUUAUGAAUGUAAUUUUAGCUAAUUUAACUUAUCUCUAAAAGCUAUAGGCAGCUUGUUAAUUUGAUGUCUUUAUAAAAUACAGUGACUCGGAACCUAUUUAAUGUUGAAACUUGUAUACAUAUUCAUUUAUACAUGCAUUCUGAACUCCUAUCAAUAGCAUUUCAGAUUUUUAAAUAGCUUGUAAUAUUGCAUUUGUUUCAUUAGAAUAUUUUAUAAGCACAUACACAUAUUUAUGUUGUAUUUGAAUAUUAGGUUCCUGUUAUCAGCCAUUAUAAAUGUAUACAGUAAAGUCUUCAUUGAGGUUCUAAACUUGUUUGAUUUUUCCUUUUCCUAUAACUCUGAAACAUUUGCAGAGUUUGCCAUACUGAAGUGUCUACCUUUAUAAAUAGUCUUGUUUCUAAGAAAUUUUACAGGAAGACAAACAUCCCAUGUUUUCACUUAUUUGUGGGAUCUAAAAAUCAAAACAAUUGAACUCAUAGACACAGAGAGUAGAAGGUUGGUUACCAAAGGCUGAAAAGGGUAGUGGAGCGCUGGAGGAGAGGUGGGGGAUGGUUAAUGGAUACAAAAAAAUAGAAUGAAUAAGACCUAGUAUUUGAUAUCACAAUAGGCUAUUGUCAAUAAUAAUUUAAUUGUACAUUUUAAAAUAACUUAAAGAGCGUAAUUGGAUUUUUUGUAACUCAAAAGUUAAAUGCUUGAAGGGUUGGAUAUCCCAUUCUCCAUGAUGUGAUCAUUACAUAUUCCAUGCCUGCAUCAAAACAUCUCAUGUACCCCAUAUACACCUACUACAUACCCACAACAAUUUAAAAAUUUUUAAAAAUUAAAAUUAUGCAGAACCAUGUUUUAGUAAAUAAAAUUAUAUGUUAAAAGUGAUAUUUAAGAGAAUACAAAGUCUUGAUUCUUUAGAUAGAGAAGACUACUUUUAAAAUAUUAAGACCUUGUCAGUCACUUUUUAAGAAUUGUAAGUUUUAAAAAUUAUUUCAGGUUUUCUUAAAGUGAAAGAGAAAGUUUAAAUAUCCAGUGAGUAAAGAGGUCAGCUGAUAGGAGCUUUUACUUGAGCAACAUUCUCAGCAUAUUAAACCUCUGACCAGUAAGAGAGCCUCCCGCUAUGAUAGCGUUCAGAAUGUAAGCCAGUAAUGAACUGCUCUGCAUACAUAGAGAAGCUGCGCCCAACAAGGACCUCAGGAACUAAGCUCAGCUCUUUCGAGUUUAAAAGCAAUAGACUUUUGGGUCAGGAGCGGUGGCUCACGCCUGUAAUCUCAGCACUUUGGGAGGCCGAGGCGGGCGGAUCACGAGGUCAGGAGAUCGAGACCAUCCUGGCUAACACGGUGAAACCCCAUCUCUACUAAAAAUACAAAAAAAAUUAGCCGGGCAUGGUGGCAGGCGCCUGUAGUCCCAGCUACACAGGAGGCUGAGGCAGGAGAAUGGCGUGAACCCGGGAGGCAGAGCUUGCAGUGGGCCGAGAUCGCUCCACUGCACUCCAGCCUGGGCAACAGAGCGAGACUCCAUCUCAAAAAAAAAAAAAAAAAAAAAAAAUAGACUUUAAAAGGUAAACUAAAAUUAAUGGGUUCUAGUAGUUUUCUUCAGACCUUACAGCUUACACAAAAUGAUUUAACUUUUAUAUCAGAUCUCAAAUAUGUUAUGGUGUCUGUUUCAAAUUGUUAUAGAAUGCAGACAAUGCAUCUAUUCUCUUCAUUAAGUUUCUCAAGCAGACUUUAUGCUGUGAUCCUUUUCAUAAAUCCCAUGAUCUUAAACAUGACUGCUCACCUUGUUAGAAUACGAUGCUUAUAAAUUAAACAAAACUCUCCAGAACUAGUGGAGGGUGAAGGAUUCAAUCUUGGUUGCAUUCCAAAGAACUCUUUUUUCCAUAAAGAAAUGAAUUCUGUUGGCAGCCCCUUAUUCUCAGGGUUCUUCCUCACUUCUACAGGGGCCAAGGAAGGUUUCCUAUGCUCUGUUGCCAUCAUCUUGGCUGCACUCUGAUUUCAUGACCUCUGAGUUAAUCCUUCUUUUUUUCCUAUUAACAAGUGUAAGCAGACCAACUUCAAACGGACUGCAAUAGGUCACAAGGUUUAAUGGGCAUAGAGAUAAUCAUCUAAAUUACAUUUCUAGGCCUGAUGGGCUAGACAGACUUAGAGGGUCACUUUACCAGCAUUUGCUGUUAAUCAGCAAGGUUGGUGGGUCUCAGAGUGUAGCUGUUUUUACCUUCCUCCCUGAGGGGCUGGGUCACACUGAAUGAUUAGCGAAGGCAGCUGCAUUAACUUUCUUCUUCCACAAAGUGUGUUGUGUCCCAAAAGGACAUGAAAGUCAAAUGUGGCCACAGCUCAAACACCAGACGCACUCUUUUCAUCUCAGUGGAAUUAUCUGCCCUCUACUUGUAGAUCAUGAUCCUCAGCACAACAGUUGUUGCUGAUUUUCACGAUCUGUUAACAGUUAGGAAUUUUUACAUUAAAGAACUUUCUCCUACAUUUAUUUCUUGUAGCAACUAGGAAAAUGCCAUAGCCUACUGUAUAUAUUUUUUAAUGCUACAUGAUUCUUAACUUUAAAAGGAAUGAGAAAAACAGCAUUACUCCAAAAAGAAGAAGAACCAAAAUAAUUUUACCUCUUAAAAUUCUAAGAUAAAUAUCCUUUGGGAACUGGCAGGGAGAAGAGCAUCAUGAGUUGUUUUUACAAUACAGGCUCAUACAAUUUUAGUUAAAUAUUUCAGUUUAUUAUCAAAGAAAACAAUAGCCUUUUUUCCUGAGUGAGAUGUUAGAAUGUGUAUUUAACUGAAAUUCAAAAAAAGGAUGAACUGGAAUCAUUUAAAAUGUAUCAGUAUGUCUAAUAUAUAAGUAAAUAUAAUAUAUGUCUCAUCUGUAUAAUACUUCAUAACUUGCGAAAGUCUUUUGCAUCCAUUAUCAUUUUAUUCUUAAUAACAAUCCAGGGAAAUAGGUUGGGGCAAGUAUAAAUUAUGUCCAUUUUAUACAUCAUAGCAAUUUUCCGAGAACUUAAGUGGCUUGCUCAGUGUCAUUGUGGUAAUAAGCGAUAAAGCUAGCACAUAGAUUCAAAUCUUCUGAUGCCACACCCAAUCCAUGUAUCUUAUUGAAUAACAUACAAAAUGUGGUCUUCUGGUGAAAUGUUUUUUUUUUGUUUUUUUUUGUUUUUGCCAUGCACUCAGGCCCUUGUGGCAGAGCUGGUGGGUAAGUUGUGUUUACAUAAUUAGCGUUCUAAUGUGAGCAAAAACAGAUAUAUUAAACUGAUUCAAUAAGAAGGAUGUUGAUUUGUCAAAAUAGCCACAUACAUUACAAUGUUUCUAAAACUUGGAUGACCCUCAAUAGUACAGAGUUUAUAAAAGCCACAGAUACAUCCAAUCAUAUCUUAGCUUGAUGCUGAAGAGACCAUUUAGAAAGCUAACAAAUAAUUGGAAUGCAAAUGAUUUAAAUGAAAGCCAGAAUCAAAAGAAAUGCUUGAUCUUUAUCAGUUCCAAUCUUAAAAUAUAUUGUCUUUCUCUGAAUUGUAAAAAUUUUACCUCUCCCCCAACACAUGCCAAAAAGAAGAAAAGUAACAAUUUAGAAACUUCAGACUUAGUGGUGGUUAAUCAUCCAGGGGACUGAAGUAGGGUGGGGACAUAUUGUGAACUCUGAUGAGGUCUCUAAAUAUUGGAGAAAGAAUGAAAGGAAAGGAAAUUAAAGUAUAGAGGGUGUUAAUUCUAAGAAAAGGACAUAUUUAAUGAUGUAUGACUUGGUCAAAUGAUUACUAAACAUACUAUCACUCUUUCAUGAUUGAAUAGUAGGAAGACUGGGGUAAAGAUUAUUUGAAGCUACUCAUACAAAAUUGUGUCCUUAAACAUGAAUUUGGUCAUUAAUGAACAGAUCCUUUAUUUUCAUUACUGGUCAGUUAAUGAGUUUCUAAUUUUUAAAGUUUGACAAAAGGAAAUUUACUUUUGCUUUUAGACACUGCUUUCUCAAAAACAGUUACAAACAACACCAAAAAGAAACAAGAAAAAACACUUACUGGAUACUUAAGUGAAGUUUAUAUACUGGAUACUUAAGUGAAGUUUAUAUCCAACAUAUCCUACUUUGGCACAUCUUUUAUCUGAUGCUUGAUAUUACUUUUCCUUUUUUGUUCCUUUUUGUUUUUAUAGAUUUAAAUUAUGUUUAACAAGGGCAAAUAAAACUUAAGAAACAUAGUAAUUUAUGUUAGCAAAACAAUCAUUGAAAUACACAAAUGUAAGAAAACAAUGAAUUUUAAAAUUUCAGAGAGUUCAAGAAGAAACUUAGAAAAAUACCUUUGAUGUUCAGAAUCACUUAUAGGAAGAGUCAGAAAAGUUGAGAAAAUGAAGACACAUUUAUGUCAUAAAGAAUACAGAGUGAACAAUAUAGGACUAGAAGUCAAGUUUUGGGAAGUACCACUAAAAGGUGUUUAUUCCCUAAUAAAACUAUCUCCUUGGUGACAUUACUUGAAAUUUAGUCUUUUCACACACAAAGACAGGGUAUUUUGAGAGGUAAAGAAAUAGCCUUUCCUAUCAGACAAAUAAAUGGAAUAUGGAAGAAAUGUAUUGAAAAGAGAAUGCACCUGAGCUACAUAAUGAUAAAAGCAGGUGCUUUUUAUAUGAAAAAGAAAAGGCAUCAGCUUAGGGGUAGUAAAAGACAAUGGUUCUCAAAGCGCAGUUUGGGGACAAGAGGCAUGGCAUCAGCAUCAGCUGGAAAGUCACUAGAUAUGCAAAUUCUUGAGCCCCAUCCUAAACCUACUGAGUGGGAACCUGGGGUUUAAGCCAGCAGUCUGUGUUUUAAUAAGCCCUCUGGGAAAUUUCAAUGCAUGCUUAAGCUUGAGAAUCACUAGGAUGAGGAAAAGCAGUGACAAGAGAGGAACGAAAGAAGUGAAGCCAGUAUCCUGGUCAACAUAGUCCUACUGUCUUUCGGGGAGGGGAUUCCUCAGUUGCUACAUUGCUCAUAAUCAGUCAGAAACACUUAAGGCCUAGAUGAAACUUAAGAAGUGAACUAAAGAAGUGUACUAGACCAGAGAGGAAUUGGGUGGCAAAUUGUGGAUAUAAUCCUCCAAAUCCACAGUGGCACACAGCCCCUUUAAAUCCUGGGCCAAGUAUCCAGCAGUGGGCCAUGCCCUGGGGCAUCUGGAAAAGGAAGUGAUCACAAGGUCUUAUUAGGGCCUUCAAAUCAGAUUUGUGAUGUUCUGAGCUUUUGUUCCUUAAUAUUUACAAACACACAAAUAGUGGAAGAAAGAGCAGAGCACCUAGCAGUAAAUUGGGACUGAGGACAUACUUCUAACUAAAAUGUUUAGAUUAUUGAGGUUUUAAAAAAUCAUUUGGUCUAUCCAACCCUGUGAUGCCUGAAUUCUUUCUUUAAUAUUGCCACCAAGUGGUCAAUGAGUCUAUUCUUGGGAUACUUUAAAGACAAACCUGUUGCCCAUUGAGAAGGCAUAUUUAUUUUAUCUUUGGAGAGCUAUGGGUAUGAGAAUGGACUUAUUUAUAUUGAACUGAUAGCUGUCUUGUUGUGAGGCUCCAUAAAAUAUAGGAAUUCAGGACACUUGUCAUUUUUUCAUGGCCCAUUGUUCAACCCUCUCUUAUUUAGAGGGAAUCCUAUACUAUAAAUGCCAAGUAAUCCUGCUCUGUCUAGUGAGCAGAACAAUAACAUGUGAUUUAAAUGUGGCUAACUGGAUGCCCCACUGUAAGAUUUCAAAUUUGGAACAAAUGACACAAGUAAGAUAGGACAGUUUAGAAAUUGUUCAUGGCCUUGAUGUUCAGCAGCAAAGGCAGAAGCAGCAGCCUGUAGGCUCUGGAGAAGAGAGUGUGUCCAGUGACAGUGGGAGUCGGGGUGGUACUUUGCCUGCAGCUCCUCCUGUUUCCCUUGAUUCCUGUCCAUUUUCUGCUUCUAUAGUCUUCCCACAAUAGCUCAAUUCUGUAAGCUACCAGAUAUGUUUUGAAUAAAGUUCCUUUUCUGCUUAGGUUAGCCAGAGUUGGUUUCUAUUUCCUGCACAAGAACAUUGACUAAAAAAUUAGAUGUAAUAGAAUGUUGUGGGGAGUGGGGUAGAAAUGAUGAAAUGACAUUAGAGAUGUUUGAUUGAAGGUUGGUUAUCUAAGUAAAAGGUGGUUCAAAUGCAGUUGGAUAAAUGGAUUGGAGUCCAUGAGGAGAGUUGAGACUGGAAGUAGAUAUUUCAUAGACAUCUUUUAAGUCCUAGAACUGGAGGAGAUAUUCAGAAGAUAAACCUCAGGUAGACUUUGUUCUUUGUUUCCCAGCAUCUGUCUUUCUUAAAAGAGUAUUUCUAAUUUCCUUUGGGAAUUGAUUUUGUUUAUGCUUAGCUAUGAGGUUUGGAGGAAUUGGCCUCUUACCAGUUCUAGGGUUAGACUUCAUUGGCUUAAAUCAAUCAGUAGUAAGUAGUUGGGUACAAAAUCCAAUCAGUGAUAAUGAUAUUUAUGCAUAUUUCACAGGAACUCCCAGGAAAGUGAUGUGAGGUUUUGGUUCAGCAUGACCACAUGUGUGGACAUCUGAGAGAACCUGCAGUUGCCUGAAGGCUCCCAUGUGGAGUCUGAGGGUGAGGUAACAACUAAAAUACACCACAGUGAGAUGGAGAGGAAACAGAUGACAUUGUUUAAGCACUGAAUCAAACUUCACCUGGAGCUUGGAAUAUCUGGAUUUUUUCAGUGAAAUCUGCUAGUAAAUCCUCUUUAUUUUAAAAAACAAAUCAAAGUAGGUUUUUUUGAAUUAACAAUAUAAAUUGUUCUAGUCAUUGUAUCCCUUCUCUUCAAUUACCAUCCUUCCUCCCACACACACAUUAAGUUUAUCAUUUAUGGUAUGAGUGCAUUGGAUUAUAUCAGAAGACAUGAACUGAUGUUCUCUGUGCGGAAUCUGAUCACAGAAUUUUAUUUACUUGUUUGCCUUGCAGAGGCUUCCCUUUUAAAAAUUAGUUAUCAAUAUGUAAAACUUGAGAAGUCUUCCAUUAAAAUUCAAAUGUUAGGUUUCUUUGGAAGAAUUAGGAGAUUCCACAAUACUGAAUCAUCCUUCCAAAGUAGCAGCAAAUAUCUUGACCUGAGCAGUUGCUGUUCACAUUUAACAGGGCAUAUGCUUUCCACUUAGCCAUAGUCCUCACCAGUUCCUAUUGCCUACACUUGGCCUAAUUCUGUCAUUUAUAUUAGCCAUGUCUGAAAAGAUUUGUGUUUGCAACACUUUAUGGACUUAAGUCCCAGGUCUGCCACUUGUUUUCUGUGAUGAUACUGCCCAUCACAUAUGGUUGUCUUAUAAAGUGGUAAAAUCUGACAAGAACAGUGUAGGCAUUUACUACAAGAGACUGCUCUACUGUGUGAGGUUACUCCAAUCAUAGACAAUAGUUUUAAUUGAAGAAUCUCAACUUGUAAGGUAAAUAAAUAAAUGAGAAAUAAUUUUAUUUUUUUUGAAUAACUGCUACUAUCCUGCUAUGUUGACAAACCUACCCCCUUUCUUAAUGGAUCUGGUUCCCUUCACGAUACUAAAGUCCUGUAUCAUUACACUUUAGUAAUUGCCAGUUAUUAAAAGUCUCAUUUUCACUAAAACUUUAUUCUCAUUUUGAUCCAAAGCUUUCCCCCAGGGAAAUGUAGAUUUGCAGCUCCCACUCUUUAUGGUAGGCAGAGAAGUAUGACAGGUCUAAUUCUGAGAUAGCUCUUAUUCUUCCUGGCCCUUGAUGUAUAUCCAUCUUCCUCCAGUUAUUCAAGCAAACACUAAUCUAGGUGUUGCUGGGAGAGAUUUUGCACAUGUAAUUAAAUUCCCAAAUCAGUUGACCUUAAAUUAGGGAGCUAAAAUCUGGGUCUAGAGGUCAGAGAUAGGAAAGACAGAGAGAGAAAAAUCCUGGGAGAGAGAUUCAAGGUGUGAGAGUCCCCAUUGCUGGCUUAGGAGAUGAAAAGGACCAGGUGGCAAGGAAUGUGGGCAGCCUCUGGGAACUGAGAGCAGUCCUGGACUGGCAGCUUGUAAGGAAACAAGGACCUUAACCCUCCAGUUGCAGGUAAGGGAAUUCUGCCAGCAACCCCAGUGAGCUUGUCAGUGGGCUCUUCCCCAGAGGUUCCAGACAAGAAUUCAGCCUGGCCAACACUUUUAGAUUUUGAGCUCUGAGCAGAGAACACCGUCCCACUGCCCCUGGAUUUCUAAGCUACCAAACCUGACCUACUGAAUGGAUGUUGUUUUAAAAGUUGCUACAUUUGUGGUAAUUUGUUGCACAGCAAUAAAAAAAGUAACACGGAAGGGUUGGAGGUGGUGAAUGGGGUCCGUUCCCUCAUAACUUUCCUAAAUUUUUUCCUUUUGAUUUAAGGUGGGAGAAGAUGGCAAAAUAAAUCUUUUGGGGGUCAUCCCUGUUGACCUCGAUCAUUGUCUCAUUGUUGGGGGGUAGCCUCAAAAAAGCCAUGAUGUUGAGGCAGUUGUCUGGAGCAUUGAGAGGCUCAGCUACCUUUUCCAGCUGAUCCUGAUCAAAAGCCUCAGGUAUCUUUUCAUCUCCUGCUGGGUCCCUGAGAAGCCUACAUACAAAACCCCAUUUCUUCUACCUUCUACAGCUUUAACUCUGGGGACUGUGGCCUGGGACAGAUAUAGCUCUACCUCGAAUUCCUGAGAACUCAGGGGACUGCUCCUUGCCCCUUCUUAGCCUGGCGAACCUUACCAGCAGCAGUAUCUCAUCACUCUCUUUCUCCCUUUCUGGCAGUACAAGGCCAUUCCUCAGACCCUGUUACUAAGCAGAUAUUCAGCCAGGUAAACAAGCAAUUUUCUCUCCCUCUUGAAGUCAUCUCUAAGCUUCACAGGUGAUUACCUUAAGAGGAGAAAUCAUGGACCCCUCUCCCUUCCCCCUCUGGGAGCAGGUUGGGGGGACAUAGUCUCUCUUCAUGAACAAUACAUUCCCCAAAGUUCACCUCUUCUCGCUCUCUAUCCCCUCAUAUCUCUCUUGCAGCCAAAUAUAUGAAAGUCUGAGGCUAAGGAGGCCUUCUUUUACUAAGAUAAGGAGAAGAGGAACUGUACUCAUACAACCUUCAUGCACAGGGAUAUCAACACUAUUCUGAUGCAAUAGUGAUGUAAUGUCAUAGUGAUAUAAUGUAAUAGUGAUGUAAUGUAAUGAUGCAUUUAGCAUUUUUAAAUCUCAUGUACCCCAUAAAUACAUACACCUACUAUAUAUCCAUAAACAUUUAAAAUUAAAUAAAAAUUAAAAAAAAACAAUUUGGUGAAUCUGGAUGUAAAGUGUAUAGGAAUUGUUUAUACUGUUUUUCAACUCACAAGUUCAAUAUUAUUUCAAAACACAAAGCUAAAACAAUUUAAAAAUUAUAUAUGCAAAAAUACCCCAUAAAUGUAAUCAUGCAUUUUAACAUUUUUCAAGAAUGUCAUAUUAAUGUAACCUAGAUCAUAACUUUUAAAAUAGGGCAUGUAUUUAAUUUUGUAUUUGGUUUGAACAGUAUCAUUUAAUUUUACAAAUAUUAAGAACUUUCCAGGCAUUGUGCUACGUGAGGAUGAUAAAAGACCUAAGCUUUGGCCUGGAGAAGUUUACCAUGUGUGUGCAUGUAUGUGUGCGAGUGAGGGAGAGAGACAAGAGUAAUAUACAACAACAGAGUGUUAGCUAAUUGUAGAGUUUUUAAAAAGAUACCACAAUUAUUUCACCAUCUUGAACAAUAUUUUUGCUAAUGGGUUGGGGAAUCCACGCCAUUUAAAAUGGAAUUUAAAUAAGAUUGGGAUUGCCUCUUUUGGUAACAAUAAGAGGUAGGUUCAUUUAAAAAUACUUUUGAACUAAACAUUUUAAUAUUUAAAUAUGUAUCUAACUUCAAAUUCUUUCUUAUCAUAAUGAAUCCAUGUACCCGGCAUAACAAAUCCAUGUAUUUCUACUGAAUUUUUUGAAGAGGUAAACAAAAACAAAAACUUCUGAUCAAGUCAGAGGCCCUCAUUGAUCUCCCCCAAAUUAUAAUCUCAACUCCAAUUGAUCACUCCCCACUCACAGAUUCUGGUGCAGUUUUGAAUAAACUUGAGUUUUACAAAUCAGAAGAGUAAAUUGUAUAGAUGUCUUUUUCUCUUUCUGAAACGUAAAAUCUAAAAUUUAUACCAUUUUUUUUACAUACCCAAUAAAAAGUGAAAUCUUUAUUCUCUGGGUCUGCAAAAGCAACUUUUGAAGUCGAAUAUAUUUAUCAACAUACUCACUAGGGGCAUUUUUUUCCCUACAGUUUUGGAGAGAGUCUGAAAACCAAUACCAGUAUGGUUUAGAUAUUCAUAAUUGUUUACACAUGUUUCAGUAACGAAAUAUAUUUCGGGGGGUUGGCACUUUAUUUUAGGAUUUGGGAUAGCUGGAAAUUAUUAUUGUUAUGGUUAAAAGUGUUCUAACUGGAUAAUGGCAUUAAAAAGAAUAUAACAUUCUGGAAUCCUUCCUCUUAACAUGAAAAACAUUAUUUUAUUACAUGGAGUUAUUUAAAUAUGGAUUGGCUGUUGUCUGGCUAGUUACACAUGGAAGUGUCUAAAGAAAUAAGUUCUUGGAAGAAGCAUCAAAUAGAAAAUGACUAUCGUUUCUUAUUAUUAAUAGUAUUAUUGUUAUGCAGAGAAACCUUAGUACUCUUUUUAAGGGCUAGAUGGUUAAUAUUCCAUAUCCUGCAGUGACAGAUUCUAAUUAAAUAUUUAAGAAGUGGGACAUCUUUUCCAAUCAUGAUACACAGUAUCUAUUACCUUGGAGAAAUAUAAAAAUUUUUUUAAUAUUUGUUCCUCCAGAAAAAAAAAAAAAGAUGAUUAAUAAGGGACUCUGUGUCUCCCAGAACCUGAAAUGUUUCUUCUAAGGAGCUAGACUAUGUUAAGAGCCAAGAGGAAGCAAGGUUCAAAGGAAAUUCAUCUAAUAUUUGUGCUCUGGUUAUGAAAGGGGGUGAGAAGCUGUUCAUCAGCGGCAUGUGUCCAGUUGGCAGGGAGGGCUGAAUGCCAGACUGGGGUUAUCGUGAUCACAGAUGGACUUAGCAUGGGAAAGAGGAUGUCAAAGACUCCCAGUCAGUGCAGCUAUUUUGGGGGCUUUACACAAAUCAUUAUUUUUUCAUUCUGUACCACUAUUGCCUCAGUCAAAUGUAUUUGUUUAAUUUAUAACAAACAUGCAAACCCUUAAACAGCAGAACUUAAUAUAACAAUUAUCUCUUAUAUGUUGAUACCAUGACCCAAUAAUUACUUCCUAUUUGCUGAUUGGCUAUUGAACAUUUGCAGAUUACCAAUGUAGGUCUCAUCCUUGGAGAUAUCACUGAAGGAGGGUUAUUAAAGUAAUGAAUUAUAAUUGUGCAUAUAAUGCAUCCCUUUCAUCAAAAAAUUUUUUACAGUUUUUAUAUUUUAUGAUAUCAAGACAAUGCCACUAAGAUUUAACCAGUAAGGGUAUAGAAGAGCUAAGUCAAUAUUAUAAAGAAUAUUCUAAAGAAGAAAUGGGGAACUUUUUCAGCCAGGGAGGGUAAAUUGUCAGUGAACUGGCAAUCCUGCAUUCAUUUUACUCAUUUUAUUCAUUCACUUUAUUCAUUUUCAGGAACUCAAGAACCGUGUCUAGGUCUGGAUGCCGAUAGCCCUUCUACAUAAGGCACAACUACAAACUGCCAGCGGGUCUGAUACCUGAUUCAUGGGUUCUCAACCUUACUCUGCUGGCAAAGUUCAUUGACUGGCAAUGAACUUUGGUCAAUUAUUGAUGGUGGACUUUGGCAAAUUAUUGAGGUUUACUGAUAUGCAGGGUGAGGUGUUAGAUGUCAAAGAUCCUCCUAACUCCAAAGUUCAGUGUGACAUUGGAACACAAGACUCACCAAUGGCCUAACUAUGAACUGGCUACUGGCCACAGAGCUACUGGUCAAUCCUACAGCUAGAAACACACCCCGUUGCUCACACCCUCCUCUACUGGUAUCUUCCCCAUUAACAAUGUUGGCCCCUCAAACCUUUUCCCCACACGUAAUUGUUGCAGGGCUCCCUGGUGCACUCGACCCCUUUCUUAUGACUGCCCCCGUCACUAUAUUAAUGAUAUCGUAUAUUAAGUGGGCUUUUAAAGGCUUACCUAAAACCUAACCUCAUAUGUAAAUUUACUUCUAUACACGCACUAGAAAUUAAUGACAAGUUCCAAACAAUAACCUACAAAUUAACUCUUGGAGCCAAAACUCUAUGUAAAGUAUAUACAGUUGACCCUUGAACAGCAGGAGGUAAGAAGAGGGGUGGUGGUUAGUAAUGCCAAUCCUCCAGGCAGUCAAAAAUCCAAGUAUAACGUUUGAAUCUCCAGAAACAUAAUUGCUAAUAACCUACUAUUGAGUUGAAUCCUUGCUAACAUAAACAAUUGAUUAACACAUAUUCAACUGACAAUACAUAUCAAGCAAUUCAACUUUUUCUGUUAUAUCAUGACUUUUCUCUGCUUCUUGGGAGCACUUCUAGCAUCAUUAGUGGUGGCACUUUUUAUGGGUGCCCUGGUGUUAUUCAAGUUUACAGUAUUGCACUAAACACAAUAAAAAUAUGUACGAGCCAUGAGAGAUCACAUUUUAUUUUUUAAUUUUUUUAUUUAGACAAAAUAUGCAUAUAAAAUUUACUGUCUUUAUUAUUCUUAAGCAUACAGUUCAGUGGUAAUAAGUAUAGCUAUAUUCUUUUUUCCUUCCAUCCUCCUUCUAUCAUUUCUGGCUUCUGGUAACCAUCACUCUAUUCUCAAUCUUCAUGAGAUGUAUUUUUUUAGCUCACAUAUAUGAACGUGAACAUGCAACAUUUGUCUUUCUGUGCCUGGCUUAUUUCACUUAAUAUAAUGGCCUCCAGUUCCAUUCAUGCUGCUGUAAAUUACAUGAUUUCAUUCUUUUUUAUGGCUGAAUAAUAUUCCAUUGUGUAUAAUACCAUGUUUUCUUUAUCCACUCAUCUGUGACAGACACUUAGGUUGAUUCCAUAUCUUGGCUAUUGUGAAUAGCGCUGCAAUAAACAGGAGAGUGCAAAUAUCUCUUACCUAUAUUGACUUUCUUUCUUUUGGAUAUAUACUCAACAGUGGGCUGAUGGAUCAUCUGGUAGUUCUAUUUUUACUUUUUUGAGGAACCUCCAUACUGUUCUCCAUAGCGGCUGUUCUAAUUUACAUUCCCACCAACAGUGUGCCAGAGUUCCCCUUUCUCCACAUUCCUGCCAGCAUCUGUUAUUGUCUUUCUGAUAAAAGCCAUUUUAAUUGGAGUAAGAUAAUAUGCCAUUGUGAUUUUGAUUUGCAUUUCUCUGAUGGUUAGUAUGUUGAACAUUUUUUCACAUCCUUGUUGGCCAUUUGUAUCUCUUGAGAAAUGUCUUUUCUGAUCUUUUACUCAUUUUAAAAUCAGAUUUAUUUUUUUGCUAUUGAGUUGUUUGAGUUGUUUACAUAUUUUAGUUAUUGAAUCCUUGUUAUAUGGACACUUUGCAAGGCGUUUCUCCCAUUUUUUAGGUUAUCUCUUCAUUGAUUGUUUCCUUUGUUGUGCAGAAGCUUUUUAGCUUUAUGUAAUCCUGAUUGUCUAAUUUUGCUUUGGUUGUCUGGGGUUUUAAGGUCUUAUACAAAAAUCUUUGCUCAGACCAAUUUUCUGGAGCACUUUUCCAAUGUUUUCUUCUGCUAGUUUAUAGUUUCAGGUUUCAGAUUUAAGCCUUUAUUGCAUUUUGAUUUGAUUUUUGCAUAUGAGAAAUAAGGGUCUAGUUUUAUUCUUCUGCAUAUAGUUAUCCAGUUUUCCCAGCACCAUUUAUUGAAAAGACUGUCCUUUCCCCAUUAUAUGUUUGUGGCAUCUUAAGUGAAAGUGAAUUGGCUGUAAAUGCAUGGAUUAUAGCUGGGUUUUCUAUUCUGCUCCAUUGGUCUACACAUAUGUUUUUAUGCCAGUACUAUGAUGUUCUUGUUACUAUAGCUUUGUAGUUAAUUUUGAAGUCCUGUAGUGUGAUGUCUGCAGUUUUGUUCUUUUUACCAAGUAUUGCUUUGGCUAUUCAGGAUCUUUUUUGGUUCCACAUAAAUUUUAGGAUUGUUUUUCUAUUUCUGUGAAGAAUGUUAUUGGUAUUUUAAUUGGGAUUGCACUGAAUCUGUAAAUUGUUUUGGAAAAUACUGUCAUUUUAACAAUAUUAAUUCUUCCAAUCCAUGAGCAUGGAACAUCUUUCCAUUUUAUUUGUGACCUCUUUUAUCAGAGUUUUAUAGUUUUCCUUGUACAAAUCUUUCAUUUCUUUAGUUAGAUUGAUUCCUAGUUAUUUUAUAUUUUUAUAGCUAUUAUAAAUGGGGUUGCCUCCUUGAUUUCUUUUUCAGGUUGUUUGCUGUUGGCAUAUAUAAAUGCCAUUGAUUUUUGUAUGUUGAUUUUGCAACCCGCAACUUAACUGAAUUGUUUAGCAACUCUAAGUUUUUUGAUAGAGUAUUUAGGAUUUUCUAGGUAUAAGAUCAUGUCAUCUGUGAACACAAAUCAAUAAACAUGACACAUUAACAGAAUCAAGAAUGAAAACCGUAUUAUUUCAAUGCUGAAAAAGCAUUUGAUAAAAUUCAACAUCUCUAGGCCGGGCGCGGUGGCUCACGCCUGUAAUCCCAGCACUUUGGGAGGCCGAGGUGGGCGGAUCACAAGGUCAGGAGAUCGAGACCAUCCUGGCCAACAUGGUGAAACCCCGUCUCUACUAAAAAUACAAAAAUUAGCUGGGCGUGCUGGCGCAUGCCUAUAAUCCCAGCUACUCAGGAGGCUGAGGCAGGAGAAUCGCUUGAACCAGGGAGCUGGAGGUUGUAGUGAGCCAAGAUUGUGCCACUGAACUACAGCCUGGCAACAGAGUGAGACUCUGUCUCAAAAAAAUAAAUAAAAUAAAUAAAUAAUAAAAAUAAAAUAAAAAAUAAAAAAUUCAACAUAUUUUGUGAUAAAAAUCCUUAUCAAAAUGUAUAUAGAAUGAAUAUACCUCAAAAAAAUAAAGGCCAUGUAUGACAAGCCCACAGCUAACAUUGUACUGAACAGAAAAUUUAAAGGCCUUUUCUCUAAGGACUAGAACAAGACAAGGAUGCCCACUUGUACCACUUUUAUUCAAUGUAAUUCUGUAAGUCCUGGUCUCAGCAAUUAGACAAGAGAAAGAAAUAAAGGGCAUCCAAAUUAGAAAGAGAGAUCCCUUUUUACUGUGAUGCGCAAUUUACUGGAGAGUUAAACUCCUCAUAUGGAGAUGAUUAGUGUCAGUUGACAUUUUAUGUGGAUACUUGCAACACUUGAGCUCACUGCAAUAACCAGCUACAAAAUUAUUACAGUAGCACAGUACAUACUACAGUUCAUUCUAUGUAGUUUUGAUUUAAUACUUCAUCUUCACAUUUGUUUAUAUUUCUCUGGACUGGGAAUGGCACCAUGUAUAGUCUGUAAGGGUUUGGUACAUUUUGAUACAUUUUGACUUUCUAUAACAGAUUUGUAUAUAUUUUAUGGUAGUAAGUGAUAAAAUAGACUAGGAUCUACAUGUUUUAUGCAUUAAUGACAUACCUAACUUUUUCUUAUUUUUGAUGAUUCUAGGCCAGAUGGUUUGUGAGUUUUUUCAAAUUGUCAGAAAAUCUUCAAAAAAUUUUUCAAUAUAUUUAUUUUUUAAAAUCCGCUUAUAACUACACCCAUGUAAUUGAAUCCUGUGUUAUGCAAUGGUCAACUGUACUUACUUUAACAAUCUUGUUUUGGUAUGUGAUAGAGUGGCUUAUAGCUUGUAAUUAGCAGUGCUCUGGAACCAGGACUUCUGGGUUCAAAAAUGGUUUCUGCUACUUACAAGCUAUGUGACCUUGGCAAGUUCUUUGUGCCUCCUUUUAUUCAUCUGUGAAAUGGGAGUUAUUAAAGUAUCUACCUUUUAAGUGUUUGGUUUAGUUUUGAGAAUUGAGUUAAUAAGUGGAAAGCAAUUAGAAUAGAACCUAACACACAAUAAGUGCUAAAUAAUUAUCAGAUGCAAUGCAUCUAAAUGUUCUCAGGAGGGACAAUUCUCUAAUCCGUGAAGAUGUAUUAGCAUUUGGGAAAUAUCUAAAAGUCAUUUGGAAUGAAAUCUGAUUUCAAAAAAGUGAGGAAGAGUUUAGCAGUUUUGGUUGAAAUCAUGUAGGCUAAGACUCAUUUUCUCAUUUAGUUGAUUAUAAUAUAUGAACAAGUUUACCGUCUUUUAGAAUAAUAGUAUUUUUUAGAGAUUACAGAUACAAAAUAAUUAAAUUACAUUAUGAUUAUGCCUCAUUCCUGAUAAAACAUAGGUAAUAUCUUUAUCCUUUGCUACUAAUUUAUUAAAACAGCAGAGAGAACAUUGAUCCCCUCAUCCUUAUCCUUAAUGGAAUCUACCAAAUGGAAUCUUUGAAAGAUGUUUCCGGUUUUAGUAAAGAAAGGUUUUCUCUCUUAUUGUUAAAUAAUUCUUAAAUUCCCAGUCUCUCUUCUGAGACCGCUAAUAAAAUGAAAUCCACCAUUAAUCAUGCAACUGUCAAAAUUAAAAUACAUGUUUAAGGCAAAAUUUACACUCAAUUCUGAAAUGUUUGUAAUCACAUUCAUUACAAAAAUGUACUGUAUAAUUUAGCACAGGUGAUUCAUGCUACAAAGUCCUUCAUAUUUUUGUAUCUUAUUAAAUCUAAACUUAAAUUUAAGAAAUUUGAAAAUCUCCAAUACAUUUUACUAGACUUCAAUGGAAAAAUAAAAUUUGAUGUUUUAAACUUUCCUCUUAUGCCAAUCUGAAGACAUAUUUUAUUUAUCUGUCUCUUUUAAAAUAUACAUUUUGCAAACAUGGAUACUGGACUCUUUAUGUGCCUAGGCACUGUUCCAAGAUCUUCACAAUAUUAACUCAAUUUUUCCUUAAAACUCCCUUAGAGCAUCAGUAUCAUUACUAUCCAUGUAUGACAGAUGAGAAAUUGUACAAGGUCUCUGACAAGUAAGGGUUGAGCUGUGACUGAAAUCUAGACAAUAUAAAUAGUAUUUUGAUCAAAGUAUUUAAGAGGGAUUAUUUCACUCAAAGAAAAUUUCUCCCUCCCUGUUAUUUCUUAAACCUUUGAAAGCUGGGUCUCUUAACUUUAUCAAGAAUUUAAUUUUAAAAUAAUUUGUCAGGUCAAGAAGCCCACAUGCAAUAUUUAUUUUCCAAAUCAUUAGGUCUGGAAAGAUCAUCUUCAAGCAUGUGGAGGGGUGGGGAGCUGGGGGAUGUGGAGGAGGUAAAAACCCAGCAAACACAGUGAACGUCUGUACCACAUUGCUAAAGAAUGAGGUCCUGAGAGCUGGAGGGCACUGGGUAGGGGCCUGCUCUGCUUUGAAGAAUGAGGUCAUGCUCAAUGUUUUAAACUCAUCAGUCCUGCCUAUAAAAGGGUGUGGGUGAAAAAGAAAAAAAGGACAAAUUAGCAUCAUUUUCAAAAGAAGUUAAAUAUGUCAGGCGGUAAAGUGUCCUAAUUCUGUCUUCAGGGAACAUAUAUCAAACCAGCCUGUAGUUAGUUCUGCAAUCAGUGAAACCAUCUGCAAGGAAUACUCCAUCCCCCAAUCUUGUUCCUACAACACAUGCCUAUUGAAGGAAAUGUCACAUGCAUGUGGAAAUUUUCUCAGCAUUACCUAAUUGAAACAUUGGGCCAACCUUUCUUUGAACAAAAAACAAUUUGUUAUAGCCUGCUGAAAGAAAGCACACCAAUGGCUUUGACUAAUGAGAACAAUAUAAAUAGUCCAAAUGAUAUACUGUUCAAUUUCUCUGGGUUUUCAGGAGCACCAUUACCUACAACUCAUAACCACUUUUCAAGCCUGUAAGAAGAAAGCAAGGGCUAGUAGCCCUUUACAGAUAUUUAUUUCUAAGGCAAAUAUUAGAUUUGGUGGCAAUUUGCUUUGAGAAUUAUAUCAAUUGUUGAUUCUUUGUGCUAAUACAGAUCAUUGAAAAAAGCACACAAUUCCAAAAUGUUAUAUUGUUAAAUAGGCACUAAUUUCUUUAUCAUUAAAACUACAAAUGAAACAAUGUGUAUAAAUGGUGCAGUUGCUGGAACAAAGCAAGUGCUCAAUAAACUGAAUUAUAAUCAUGUAUAUUUUAUGACAGAAAUGAAACUGUCCUUAUUAUGUGUGUCACUGCUAGUAAUAUUCUGCUUCAGAUUGUGAGUUACUAGGAUAGGAAUUUUUACCUGGCACUUUUCAUACCUCUGACAUUGUAUACGGCAUUGGGCAUAUAUACGUACAUUAUUUCUUGAGAUGAGGGGUCAAAACUUUCAUCAGAUAUUCUAAGGGGCACACUGCCUCCUCCAAAAUGUUAAGAACCACUGGCCCAGAGGAAUCAUUUGCUUUAAUUUAUCCUAUAUAGAGCCAAACUUUGUUUGAUAAAGCCAAAAAUAUCCUUUAAAAAAUACAUCAGCCAGCCACUGGCUCAUGCCUGUAAUCCCAGCACUUUGGGAGGCCGAGGUGGGCAGAUCACAAGGUCAGGAGUUUGAGACCAGCCUGGCCAAAAUGGCGAAUCCCAGCUCUACUAAAAUUACAAAAAUUAGCCGGGUGUGGUGGCAGGCGCCUGUAAUCCCAGCUACUCGAGAGGCUGAAGCAGGAGAAUCGCUUGACCCCAGGAGGUGGAGGUUGCAGUGAGCCAAGACUGUGCCAUUGCACUCCAGCCUGGGUGACAGAGCGAGACUCCAUCUCUAAUAAUAAUAAUAAUAAUAAUAAUAAUAAUAAUGUUUUAGACUCGGUUUGGCUGUGGGAAAAGGACUUAUAAAAAUGCCCAACCUGAGGCUGCAGAGAAAAGGAAAUACUUAUGCUGUUGGUGGGAAUGUAAAUUAGCUCAGCCACUGUGGAAGACAGUUUGGAGAUUUCUCAAAGACCUUAAAACAAAAUUACCAAUUGACCCAACAAUACCAUUACUAGGUAUAUAUCCAAAACAAAAAUUAUUCUACCAAAAAGACACAUGCACUUGUAUGUUCAUCACAGUGCUAUUCACAAUAGCAAAGACAUGGAAUCAACCUAGAUGCACAUCCACAGUGAAAUGGAUAAAGAAAAUGUGAUACAUAUACACCAUGCGGAAUACUACACAGCCAUAAAAAAAGAAUGAAAUCAUGUCCUUUGCAGCAACAUGGAUGCAGCUGGAGGCCAUCAUCCUAAGGGAAUUGAUGCAGGAACAAAAAACCAAAUACCACAUAUUCUCACUUAUAAGUAGGAGAUAAACACUGGGCAUACAUGGACAUGAAGAUGGCAAUGAUAGACAAUACUAGAUGGGGGAGAAAGGGAGGGAGGCAAGGGUUGAAAAACUACCUCUUUGGUACUAUGCUCAUUACCUGGGUGGUGGGUUCAAUUGUACCCCAAACCUCAGCAUCACAAAACAUACUCAUGCAACAAACCUGCACAGGUACCCCCUGAAUCUAAAUUAAAAGCUGAAAUCAUGAAAACAAAAUACUUCGUAUCUAAGAUCUCUUCUUUCACCACCAUCCUCACUAUGCUGGUAUAUACCUUUGCUUGAGUUAGUUUGGCUUGAGAAAUGGGGAAGGAAGUGAAGAAAGAUAGAUAAAAGAUAAAAUUUUGGAGCAAUUAAAGCCCAUAAAGAUGUGGGCAUCAGGGACUGGCAUUAAUCAAAAAGAGGUUCCCUCUACUUCUGUUUUAGCUACAACCUGUUUCAAAGUUUCAAAUGUCACAUUGGAAAUCCAGCUACUCAAGCAGAAUAUUUUAGGAAAAAAACCUCUCAGGUUCCUUUCUAUUUCUGUGUCCAGUUCAGAAAUCAGAAGACAAAUUCUUAGAAUGUCAAAACAUAAACUUGAAGCAACAAUGAGGGAAUACUGCAGAGACAGUACUUACAGAAACUUCUCUGGAUGCUGUCAGAAGCUAGGAAGACCCAAUUCUCCUGCACAUUGUGUUGGCUCUGCUGCUCUGCUGGGUAGCAAAAGUUUGCUUCUUCUAGCAGAGGAAGCAGAUGUGAGUUGGAGAAACAUGCAAAACAAAUGUGUGGAGCAAAAGUUUUUAUGUAAAUGGUAAUCUAUCUGAUCGUAAGUGGCAUGACCUCAUGAGGUGAGUGUUCAACAUGACUCUUUUUCAUCAACACAAAAGAUAAUUUAUAUAAGUGCUGAAACAGAUCAUGAUUGAAAGAACAUGCCACUCUGAUCUUUGCUUGCUUUAUAAGAAAACUGAAUGUUAAACAAAACCUCCCAAGCCUUGGAUGUGUGCAAAUGCUUCCUGGCCACUGGGGAGGUCUAUGCAUUCAAAAUGUCUCCGUGCACCUGCUGCUCAGGAAAAUAACAUUUCACUUCCCUAGGUGCUUUGUGGGCUCUUGGUAAAUGAUGGUAAAGGACGGCUCACUGGUAAAGGAUGCCUCAGUCCAUGGACAAAGAAUCUGAAAUACCUGCAAAGGUUAUGCAUUUAAAUCAAGGGCACUUAACAAGACUUGAAAGAACGCCGACAGCCCAGGUCAUUUGAUAUUGAAGUAGGUGCCACUGCUAAAGAUCUCUUACCGUGAAACAGAAGAGUAGAACCAACUACUCUGUUAGGCACAGCAGCCACAGUGCAUACAGCAUGUGAUAUUUUAGGGGCCCCCAAAUUUUUAUUUUCUUUCAAAGCAGAAAGAAAACAAACUUUUCAGUCGGAGAAGACAGUCUAUAUCUGUAAUAUAAAUACAUUUGUCUUUAUAUCAACACUAUUGUAAAAUGUAAUAUUUAUUUAUUUGUUGGAACAAAGGGUCCACAAAGGGAAAAGUGACUAGGACCCACACAUGUCAGGAAUACAAUCUAUGGGGCAGCCCAGUUCACUCAAUCUCAUUUCUAACUCCCAAUCAAUUCUUCUCAUCUCUCUUCCCCAAUUCCCAACAAGUUCUUCCUGUCUGGCAUCUUCAGUAUUAUUUGCUCCUAUUUCUUUAGUUGUUCUCUUUCUUCCUCAAUUUGAAGUCAGCAAGACUUAUAUUCAAACCCCACCUUUACUAAUGAUCUAUUUCAUAGAAAGGGUUGACAAGAUUUCUAACCUUUCUAGAGCCUUAGUUUCUCCAUAUGUUAAAAAAUAAGAGGAGGAUUAAAAAAUCACCUAUGUUCAAGGUUGGGGUAAAGAUUAAAUAAGGCAAGAAGGUAAAGUGCCUAACAUAAUGCCUGGCACAUAACAAAAGUUCUACAAAUGCUUCAUUGCUACUACACCUAUUACCUCGGCUGCUGCUUUGCUGCUAUUUGUAUUCCCCUAUAGCACAUAGCAUAUUUCUCAGAACAAAGUGCAUAGUGGGUACUUAAUAAAUGUUACUAGUUGAGAGCACUUCACUAUAGCACAUAUUGUAUUGUUGAAAAAUUAAAUCAUAUUCCUCUGGUAAAUUGAAGUAGGCAAGGUAACUAAUAACCAUUAAAAUAGGUAUUUAAUUGACAGUACAACUUUGAAAACUAAUAGGUUUUUAUUAAAUAAUUACUGAUAAAUGCACUCCCUAUUCUCAUUAUGGAUAUUUGCUAUUAGAUAACUAUCACUUGAGCUAUUUUAUAAUAGCCCUCUAUGGUGUUGGAAGGGUACAAAAAAAUAAAUGAGAGAGUUCUAAACCAUUUCAAAAUAUCAUAACUGAAGUCAUUCACACAUCAUUUAAUAUCUCAGAAUCUAGAUGGCUAAUUGAUUUUUUAAAAAUAAGUCAUCAAAUGCCAGUUUCAAAUGUGUAGCUAAAUGCUGGAGAAUUUUUUAAAUCCUAUUUUCCCCUUCCUUAGUAUUAUCUGUUUUAAAAUGCAAGCUGUUUCAAACAGAUCUGUGAAACAUAGUCUCCAAGCUUCUCCUAUAUAUAACCUUCCUGUAGCUUUUAUUUAUGACCCUAUUCUGGUGCAACAUUUUGAGGGCAAAAUGUAUAUGAUACCAUAGAUCAUCUAUACAAAUCAACUUGUGUGAAUAUUAUAUUGUUCCCCAUGUCAAAACUUUUUGAUAUGGAAAGGGGUAUUAAAAGAAACAUUCCCCUAUGUGUAUAGCAAUUUUCUUAUAAGUAUAUUUUAUUAAUUCCUAAACACUACAUAUUCUAGCCACAAUAACAGUUUAUUACUUUCUAAAUCUUUCUUCCUAACAGCAAAACAUUAUACUGUUUAUGGGUAAAUCAAAAUGAAAUAACAGACUCAUUAUAUUAUAUAAUGUUUUAUGUUUCAUUAAUGAUCUUUUCUGUAAUUGAAUGCAUGCUUCUGAUUGUAAUAAUUACAUUGGGCAGAAAAGAAGGCAGAUUAAUGAAUAGAAUAAAGAGCUGUCAGAAUAGUAUCACUGUCUACAGAAAUGAUUUAAAAUACAAAGAUGAAAGAUAAGAAUGAUUCUCCAACAUACAACACAGAAGGAUUACCCAUAAAUUAUUCACACUCCUAGUAAACACAUAGGACAGUAGAAAUACAGAAACCCAUUUGUCUAAACCAGUGGUUCUCAAUCAGGGUUGACUUUGUCCCUCAACAGACAUUUGGCAAUGUCUGAAGACAGUUUUGGUUGACACAUCUUGGGGAGGGGGUUGCUAUAGGAAUCUAGUGGAUAGAGGCCAAGAGUGCUGCUAAACAUCCAACAAUAAAGAGAAUAACUUCCCUGGAACAAAGAAAUAUCCAGCUUCAAAUGUCAACAGUGCCGAGAUUGAGAAACUCUAAUCCCAAUCUGGUUAUAUGUUAUGUAAAUUAACUCUUUCUCCUUCACUGGUAAUUAACUAAACUAAGAGCUAAUUAAAUUCAGAGCCGUCUCUGGGACAAUUAUAUACAAAUUCUAGUUAGCAUAAAAAUAACUAAAAUACAGGCAUUAAAUAAACUCAAAUAGUUCAUUAUGGCUAAGUUGGUACUUAAUAAUGUUUGAUAAAAUGUCUAUUAAUAAAUUAAUCAAAUUAUCUUACUAUUUAUCAAAAUGUUAUUGUAAUUGAUUUUUUAAUUGACUGGUAUGCUUUAUCUUUGCUUACUCUGCCAUGCUAGUCUUUUGGCAAAAUGGUAACAUGCAGAGUUGAUGCUCAGAAGGUAAGAGAAUAGGGGAAGGAGAAAUUAGGAGGCUUGAUUAAUCUUAAAUUGGUUUCUUCUUCUUUGGUUAUUUGGAAGUGGAUGGCCUUUUAAGUUUGCUGUAGUUUGAAUGUCCCCAAAAUUCAUGUGUUGAAACUUAAUCCCCAUUGUGAUGGUAUUAAGAUUUUUCGGAUGUGAUUAAAUCAUGAGAGUUCCACUCUCAUAAAUGGAUGAGUGCCUUAUAAAAGUGCUGGAGGUAACUACUUUAGACCCUUUUGCUGCCCUUUGCGUCUUUCCCCAUGUGAGGACAUAGAAUUUUCCCUUUUUGCUCAUUUCCCGCUUCCACCAUGUGAGGAUGCAGCACGAAGAACCUCACCAGACACCAAAGGCCGGUGCUUUGAUUUUGGACUUCCCAGCCUCCACAACUAAAGGAAAUACAUUUCUGUUCUUUAUAAACUACCUAGUCUCAAGUAUUUUGUUAGAGCAGCACAAAUAUGUUAAGACAAUGUUUAUUUAAAAUUUAAUAAUGGGGUUCAUUAGGCCAAAAUCUAAUUUGAAAUGUAGGGAGAAAUUAUAAUUUUUCCCUUUGACCUAUAAAUAAAAUAUAAUAAAAGUUUAGUUCAUUUUCCUUUAGAUUUGCCUGCAUAGGCUUUGGGGAUUUAAAUGUAACAGCUUGCCAUUUAAUCUGCAACAGUUUGACUCUAGAUUUCAGCCCUACAAAUAUAGUGAGGACACUGUGGUUGUUGACAGAAAGGAAAAAAAAAAAGAACAGCUUGGAAAAGUAAAAAUUUGUAAAUCUCAUUGAUGUAUAUCUGCUUAGCUAUUAAUUUGAAACCUAAAGACACUAAUGAGAUUAAAUAUAAAAGAGAAAUAAUAGAAAAGUCUAUGGGUUAGAAUUUUAAGUGGAAUCUAUGGUGAGAAAAUUUUACCCCUGCUGUUGACUUCCCCCAGCUCAUGAAGCCACUUGUGCCUAGUAAAGUAUCUAAAGCAGUCCACAUUAUUCACGCCACAUUUUUGUGUUCACUCAUUUGACACUUUCUAAAAAGUACUAGUGCUUAUCAGAUAAUUUUCCAUGUUAUAAAAUAUAAUACUUACUGUGGGACCACACAUAAACUGUAAAUUAAGACCUUGUGGAAAGGAUUCUUAUAAAUUACCAACAUACUUUUCUGCAAUUAUCUGUAGGAUUCAUCCCACAAGAAUUUUCUAAUACUUUUCUUGAUAUUACAGUAACAUUUUCCUGACGUAAUCUAUUCUUUAAGGUAAUGGCAUGAUAAUUAACUUGUUUCUGAUCAAUACAACAUUGGAGAAACGUGUCAUGGAAGAAAGGAAUAUAUAACUUUCCCACCAAUCUUUUUUCCUAAUUUAUUGAGGUAUAAUUUAUAUGCAGUAUACAUAAUUUAUAUAUAUAUAUACACAAAUACACAUGUAUAGUUGAUAUAUUGUAUAAUUUUAAACAGUAGAUUGCAAAAAUCUUAAAUGCAGUUAAUUAAAUUUGUAUCUAUCUAUAUAGCACCUAGUUAUAUAUGUAACCAGCACCCAGAUUAAGAUAUAGGACAUUUGCCCAAAAAAUUCCCUCAUGCUUAGUUGUACCUACACCUUCUAGUAACUGCUAUUCUGACUUCUAUAAACAUAGAUUAGUUUUGCUUAUUCUUGAACUUCAUAUAAGUGAAAUACAGUAUUUCUUUAUAUAUCUGGCUUCUUUUAAUUUUUUUUGUUUUUAAUUGUUGUGGAUACAUAAUAGUUGUAUAUAUUUAUGGGAUACAUGUGAUAUUUUGAUAUAAGUAUACAAUGUGUAAUGAUCAAAUCAGGGUAAUUGGGAUAUCUAUCACACCUCAAGUAUGUGUCAUUUCUUUGUGUUAGGAACAUUCCAAUUCCACUCUUCUAGUUGUUUUGAAAUAUGCCAUGAAUUACUGCUAACUACAGUUGCCCUGUUAUACUAUUGAACAUUAGACCUUAUUCCUUCUAUUGGUGUUUUUGUGCCCAUUAACAACCACUCUUCAUCCCAGCCUCUCCACUGCCCUACUCAGACUAUGGUUAACCAGCAUUCUACUCUUUAUCUCCAUGAUAUCCACUUGUCUUUGGCUCCCACAUAUGACUGAGAACAUGUGAUAUUUGUCUUUUUGUUCCUGACUUAUUUCACUUAAUAUCUUCCAGUUCCAUCCAUGCUGUUGCAAAUGGCAGGAUAUCAUUUUUAUGGCUGAGUAAUACACCAUUGUAUAUAUGUACCACAUUUUCUUUAUCCAUUCAUCCAUUGAUGGACACUUAGGUUGAUUCCAUAUCUUGGCUAUUGUGAAUAAUGCUGCAACAAACAUGGGAAUGCAGAUAGCUUUUCAAUAUACUGAUUUCCUUUAUUUCAGAAAUAUACUCAGCAGUGGGAUUGCUGGAUUACACAGUAGUUGUAUUUUUAGUUUUUUGAGAAACCUCGAUACUGUUCUCCACAGUGGCUGUACUAGUUUACUUUCCCACAAACAGAGUACAAGGGUUCUCUUUUCUCCACAUCCUUGCUAGCAUUCAUUAUUGAUGUCUGGCUUGUUUUUAUGAAUGUAAGGUUUUGAAGAUUGUUUCAUAUUUGUGUGUAUCCAUACUUCAUUUAUUUUUAAUGCCCCAAUAGUAUAAUAUUGGAUUUGUUUCCUUUCUUACUGAAUUUUUUUCAACUUUUAGCUACUAUGAAUAAAACCAAUACGAAGA
Long non-coding RNA from Homo sapiens (human), 36899 nucleotides. RefSeq lists it as uncharacterized. The record is from RefSeq and is a predicted model, not a curated record. The transcript is spliced from 3 exons. Lineage: Eukaryota; Metazoa; Chordata; Mammalia; Primates; Hominidae.